AUUGAACGCUGGCGGAAUGCUUUACACAUGCAAGUCGAACGGCAGCACGGACUUCGGCCUGGUGGCGAGUGGCGAACGGGUGAGUAAUGUAUCGGAACGUGCCCAGUCGUGGGGGAUAACGUAGUGAAAAUUACGCUAAUACCGCAUACGAUCUAUGGAUGAAAGCGGGGGAUCGCAAGACCUCGCGCGAUUGGUGCGGCCGAGAUCAGAUUAGGUAGUUGGUGGGGUAAAGGCUCACCAAGCCAACGAUCUGUAGCUGGUCUGAGAGGACGACCAGCCACACUGGAGAGGAGACACGGUCCAGACUCCUACGGGAGGCAGCAGUGGGGAAUGUUGGACAAUGGGCGAAAGCCUGAUCCAGCCAUCCCGCGUGGAGGAUGAAGGCCCUCGGGUUGUGAACUGCUUUUGUACAGAACGGAAAGGUUUCUACUAAUACUAGGGGCUCAUGACGGUACUGUAAGAAUAAGCACCGGCUAACUACGUGCCAGCAGCCGCAGUAA
This 500-nucleotide ribosomal RNA is filed under the name uncultured bacterium. Its description in RNAcentral is "partial 16S ribosomal RNA". It matches the Rfam family "Bacterial small subunit ribosomal RNA", at positions 30 to 523 of the family's 1533-position model. The record is from RNAcentral.